This 254-nucleotide ribosomal RNA is filed under the name uncultured bacterium. RNAcentral describes it as "partial 16S ribosomal RNA". It matches the Rfam family "Bacterial small subunit ribosomal RNA", at positions 524 to 776 of the family's 1533-position model. The record is from RNAcentral.
UACGUAGGGACCAAGCGUUGUCCGGAAUUAUUGGGCGUAAAGAGCUCGUAGGCGGUUUGUCGCGUCUGCUGUGAAAACCUAAGGCUCAACCUUGGGCUUGCAGUGGGUACGGGCAGACUAGAGUGCGGUAGGGGUGACUGGAAUUCCUGGUGUAGCGGUGGAAUGCGCAGAUAUCAGGAGGAACACCGAUGGCGAAGGCAGGUCUCUGGGCCGCAACUGACGCUGGAGGAGCGAAAGCAUGGGGAGCGAACAGG